Molecule: transfer RNA, 64 nt
Filed under: Drosophila immigrans
Lineage: Eukaryota; Metazoa; Arthropoda; Insecta; Diptera; Drosophilidae
Description: tRNA-Leu
Source: RNAcentral
ACUAUUUUGGCAGAUUAGUGCAAUAAAUUUAGAAUUUAUUUAUGUAAAAUUUUUACAAAUAGUA